UUCUGAUGUCAUGUGUGAUGUCACAAAGAGGAUCUGCUUUAAGUCUUGGUAAAACCAGAAACAGUUAACAGACUGCAGCUCAGUAUUGUCAAGAUGGAUCUCCAUAACAGUUGAUGAAUAGUUUUAUUUGGGGGAUAUAUUAACUUUUACUAUUGAGGGAAAGUUUUAGAUUGGUUUGCCAGUUUGUACCCCAUCAGGUUGAGGCCAAUAGAUAUACAUUCACAACCCUGUACCCAUCAAAUAAUCAACUUUAUGUGUGACUUUGGGACUGAUUCAUACAGCCACAUUUCCUUUCCCCACUCUAUAGCAGCCUUUUCUCUGUAUUUGAAAAAAUAACCAAGAAGGAGAAGAUAAGGAACCAGGAUUAGGAUUUGGAUGAGUAGCAGCUAAGCUUUACAGGUGAGGGGGCUAGGAAGAGGGCUUUGUGGUCCAGCAUAGGAAUGAUGGGUGCUUCAUAUUAUUGAAUUCCUGUUCCACAAAGAAGACUUAGAGCUCAUUGCUCUCCAACUUUCAAGGCUCGCCAGGUUCUGGGAGAUGGAGGGUCUGGUAUGCUUUCUAGUGACAACGGGCGACAGGCCGCUAGGAACGAUGCUGCCACGAGUUUCUGGCGGUGCCCUCCCCCCCCCGGCCGUUCAUUAGGUGGGCGGGUAGCAGCGCCCCUCCUGGCGCUCAUCAUGCAAGCAGCAGGCGUCUAGCCCCAGCCCACGGGCCGGCUAGCCCCACCCCUGUGCCGCUCUGGGUGCUGGGGCAGGUAUCUCUGCCCUUGUCCAAAUGGCAGAUUGAAGUGCUUGCUUGGUAUGUAUAUAAUGGUUUGCUGCUUAGAAUAACAUCUUUAAUCUUCUCACUCACUUGUGUUUUAUAUUACUUCUGAAUCUCUUUUUAAAAGAACCACCUUGCAUUUGGCAAGACAAAGGGUAUGCUAAGGAAGACCUCCGUCUGUGGCUUUGGACAACCAUCUGCCCGAUUUCAUUUCAUUGAUUUCAUUGAUUCAGCCAGCGUGGUGUAAUAGUAAAGAGCGGUGGACUUGUAAUCUGGUGAACCGGGUUUGAUUCUCUGCUCCUCCACAUGCAGCUGCUGGGUGACCUUGGGCAAGUCAUACUUCUUCUGAAGUCUCUUAGCCUCACUCACCUCACAGGGUGUUUGUUGUGGGGGAGGAAGGGAAAGGAGAUUGUUAGCUGCAUGGAUCUGCCUCUAGGUUUGUGGCUUAGCUGUUCUCUUUCAGAGAUACCAUUUGAUUUAUUUGGUCAAUGUGGUCCCAGUUUUAAGCAGCCAUGGCCAUGCACUUCAUUGCAAUGUCACUGGGACAAUCACAUGUGGCCUUUACCUGUAAGGUCGACGCUCAUGCAGAGAAGCAUCUCUGCAGCAGUGCUGCCAAAGAGCAAACUUGGUGGUAGUCUUGUGUGAUUCCAGCCGCUUGCAAAUGAGCUGCCAACUAGUUUCAACUGGCCCUCCGGCUAUUUUAAUGACAUCCAGCCAAGCAUUUUAAGAUUUCCACACAGUGGCAGCAAUUAGCAGUGACUCCAAAUUGAUAAUGGAUGGUUUCAAACAUGCACUCCCUAAUAAUAAAUAAUAACAUUUUGCCUUCUUGUGUGCUUUACAUUUCUCUCCUCAUGCCCAACGUUCCCUUUGUGCAUGUGAUAAUUUAUUGCAUAUUUCAAAACAUUCAAAUUUCAUCUCUCUUGAAAUCAGUCCCAGAGCAAUAAUAAAAAAAAAAAGGUUCCAUUUUUAUGCGUAAAAUACAUGCAGCAAUGAAAGGCAUGUUAUGAAUCCAGGAGGUUGGAAACCAGGAGAUAAUGAGAUCUUGGGUAGAAACAACAAGAGCUAAAGGGGAUCCGUGCAUCUAGGAGUAAUGAAAUUAAUCGUAUUGCACAGAAACUUGGAGAAAAUUGCCACAAACAGAUCCAAGAGACAUUGACUUUAAGCAGAGAGGUCUCAAACUUUGUUGCAGCAAGAUGCUUUAAGAGGGGGAAAUGCACUUUUUCCUAAGCCAAUUGUAAAUAAAGGAAGACAAGAAAAAGCAACAACGAUUUCUUUUGGCAGAUGGGAAUCUAUUACCAGGAAUAGAGCCAGACCAAUAAAGCUCCAAAAUGAUGGGCCAAAACAAAAUGAUCAGCCAGGACCAGAAGGAUGGUCGCCAAAAUGCCCGGAGUAACAACUGAAUGGGUAAAUUUAAUCCUCGGCAUCUCCCGAAGAGGCCAAAUAGAUACAAAAUAGAGAUCCUCACCCGUCAAAAGUAGAAAAUAACUAAUUUCAGAGAAGAGUAGAAGGGUGUAAUGUUUUAGACAUAGGCAUUAGAAGGACAGGAUUAGAAAUUUAUAUAUUUCUGAGUCUGGACUCAGCUACCUUAGUCAAAAAACAACAUUUAAAUAUGCAACACCAGAUGCCGCUGUAGAGCAAAAAACAUUUUAUGUGAUUUUACAUAGAGUUUUUUCUUUUGUUAUAACGAUUUAAUUAAUGACUUAUUUAUAGUGUCGUCGUCCCCCCCCCCCCCCGUGUAUAGAUCCAGCCUCUGUCUCUUUAUGUGUGUCUCAUUUUCCUCUCUCUCUCUCUCUCUCUCUCUCAUAUAUCCUGUCUCUUUGAGAACAUGUGUGCAAGGCAAGAACAUGGUAUCUAGCAGAGCAGUCUAUCAUGGGAAAGGGGAUCUAUAAUGGGGCCAUUUUGUCCUUAAUUCAAUAAAGAAUUUAAGACUAAGCACUCUCAGAAUCCUCUUUCUAGGUGUGACGCACCUCCUGGCUUGAAGUGGUAUCUCUUUAUAUAUUUUUUAAAACCUCAACAGAAGACUGAGCUUCUAAUACUGUACAUCGUAACUCACCGGUGGGAUAGGAAAUAAAACAAAAGCCUAUAGGAAAUAAGUUGUGGAUUUGUAUAGCUAAGCAGCAUUCAGCUGGUUUAUAUUGUAAAUUUCCAAUGUUGUUUUAUCUCCUUGCUAUGUUCAUACACAGAUAUUACUUUUUUAUGUCCCCCAUACUUUAUUGUUUGCUUUUUUUCAUUACUAAAGAUUUCUGUGGAAGAUUUGAUAAAAUUCUCUGCUGCUUUUUUUUAUAAUAAAAUAUCUGCCUGUGGUUUUAAGAUUACAUUUAAUACUUAUUUCCUUGUGCUGUUUAUUGAAUAUAUCCAAACUCACUUGGAAGUGGGAAAAUGGAAGCAUUUGAUAUGAGAAAUCUCAUAGUAAGAGAGCACUCAAAACAUUGUAAAUAAAUAGGCCACACGGCCGAUCGCUUUGCUGUUGGCUCCAUAUUUGUAGUGUGUUAUACAGAUUGUCAUCGUUGAGUGUCAGAAUAUACCCCCCCCCCCGAUGCAGCUUUAAAAUCAUGUCACAGGCUCAAACGUUCACAUAGUGGGGCACAAUUUGAGCAGUGAUUUUUGCAGCUGAGAAGACAAUGCAGUGCAAAUGACCCAAAACAUUAUUGUGCGAUGUCAGUUGCCUUUGCAAAAGAAAUAUCCCCGGAGCACUGUACCCAUUGUUCAUGCAUUGUUAUUAAAACUAAAACUGAACGGAAGACUGCAACAAAUAAGUGCAUGCACGUGUGAGCGCACAUGCGCAGAGCUUGAAGGAAGUACACAGGCACAUCUGUCAGAAGUCCCAGUUCCCGUCUUGAUAACACAGCAAGCAUAGUUAAUUAAAAAGGAAGAUUUAAUACAAAAACAAACAGAGUUCUCCGGAUGGCUCUAACAAGCCACCAGUCUCAUCAAUCAUGAUGACCCUUCUGAAGACUCCUUCCGGUUACAGAAGAUACUGAACUUUUUCACUUUGCGCCUUUUGCCUUGUUCCAUGGUGCAUGGAAAGUACUAUACUGGAAAAGGUGCUAUGAACGGGAAUACUCAACACAGUGACAUUUUAUUUAAUGUCUCACUUCUUGCAAUCUAUUUUGCAUACCUCCUUUGAAAAAUGUGUGUCCUAGUUAAGCUAGGGUUGAUAUUUGAAAUGGAUGGUGGUGAUCAAUUUUUGUCCACCAACCUAAAUUCCAAUAUCUGAAUUUUCAAAGAGAGAUUCAUAGCCCUAAACAUUUUGCGAAUCUUUGUACUUUUGUCCAUUUAGUGUAUUUAUUUUUCCCAAUUUGAACUAUAAAAUGGUGAUUUUUCUUGAGUCAAAUGAGAGUACCCCUAAACAUUUUUUAGAAAAAAGCACUGACUCUAAUGAACUUUGGACAUGGAUGUUAGCUGCAGCUAGGAUUUCAAUAACCCAGCAAUGGAAAAUCUAGAGGCUCCAGAAUGCUUUUAUGUCAUCUGAUGGGGUCUUAUGUCAUCUGGUGGGGUCUUAUUUCCAUUUUUUUAAAAACUUUGCUGCUGAUUGCUCACCAUCCAUGCCAGUUCGGAAAAUAAGGAUUUCUUUAUUUAAGUUGAUGUGCCACCAUUUUCCCCCUCUUAUUACCUUUCAUCUAUUUCCUUUUUAUAUGGUACUAUGUAAAAUCCUGCUACCACACUUUUGGGUUGUUAGUAAUAGUCAUUAGGUUGCAAUGCAAUUUAGAAAGGACAAAAAUGAAGAGGAAGGGGAAAGCUGUCUUCAGCAUAACAGCAGAAAGGUCAAAUAUAAAUCUAACAAACAAAUGAUAGAGUAUUAUCUUAAAUAUGUGCAGCAGUGUUCAUUUUGAGGUCUCCGAUUUUACUCUUGAUAUCCCUCCUCACAGAAAUACCACAUACGGUACAUUUUCCAUGUCCUUCCCUUUUCACAAAAUUAUUAUCCUAAAUGUGUGUAGAAACAUAAGAAAGGCCUUGCUGCAGCCGACAAAAACUUCAUUUGGGUCAGAAUCACUCUUUUACUGUGGAUAACCAGAUGGCCAUGGGAAGCCCACAAGUUAAUAAUAAUAAUAAUAAUAAUAAUAAUAAUAAUAAUAAUAAUUUGUACCCCACCCAUUUUGCUGGGUUUCCUCAGCCACUCUGGGUGGCUCCCAACAGAAUGGUGGUGUUGAUGACGUUGUUGUUAUCAUUAUUAUUAUUAAAGCGAUAAAACAUCAAAGAUGAAAAAAUUCCCUAAACAGGGCUGCAACAGUACUCUUCCAUCUUCAGCUCCCCAGCAAAUGCAUUUCAAAAUUAUCAAAGGGGAAAUUAAAUUGUUGCAGAAAAUGGUUCCCUUAAACAAAAUAAGUGGGUCUGCCAAGGUCGGGCACCAAUUAACAAUUAACAACAACAACAAGGCCUAGAACUUGGGUCUCUUGUCAUCACUAUUUGCCUCAGUUCCUCAGACUUCACCCUGAUAAAAUUAGUUCAGGCAAGUGGAUCUUCCCUACAUGUUCCACUUGGAAGAAAGGGGGCAUCAAAUUCAAUCAGCUUCUCUAAGUCUCCUGCACUAAAUUUCAUUUUGAUACCUCAUUGUCCAACACUAACUGUUAUGGACAGUCUAAAAACAUAAGAAGAGCCUGCUGGGUCAGGCCAAUGGCCAAUCCAAAUGAGGAUCCACUUUUCACAGUGGCCAACCAAAUGUCUGCGGGAAACUUUAAAGCAGGAUCUGAGCACAAGAUCAUUUUCUUCCUUUUGUAGUUUCCAGCUGCUGGUCUUCAGAAGCAUUAUGAGCCUAACCAUCAUGGAUGGGAGCCAUUCAUAGCCUUUGCUGUCAUGACUUCAUUAAUUCUUUUUUAUGCAUGAAUUAGGCCCAAGUUUUGGGUUCAGCUUAGCAUUGUUCAUGCCUGUCAAUGAUGAGUAUUAAGUUUAGAAUGGAUGGUGCACCGAGUCAUCUAAGGAAUGAUAUAAAUACACCUAUGACAGAAAACAGAAUUUCCCUUCCUCCUGGAUUAUGCAGUGACGUCUAUAUGAGCGGAUUUUAAAUAUUCAAAUGUUUCUUUGAUUUACUGCUUUCUGAACUUUUUAAAAUGAAAUAUGAAUGUGCUUUUAUCUGUCACCCCAAUAGUGUCAACAUUUAUUUUUGAUAUUUAUUUACAUCAAUAUUUCUAUUCUUCCUUGGAUAACAUUUCACUGCCUUUUGUUGUUUAUAGACCCUUCUUUGAACAAGGAUUGCAUCUGUUGGAACUCACAAUAAGUUAUAUAUCAGGAUUGGACAUAAAACGAGUCCUCUCAAUCCUUCAGCCAUUAACUUUGUCUACAUCAGGCUUCCUCAACCUCGGCCCUUCAGAUUUCUUUUGGCCUACAACUCCCAUGAUCCCUAGCUAGCAGGACCAGUGGUCAGGGAUGAUGGGAAUUGUAGUCUCAAAACAUCUGGAGGACUGAGGUUGAGGAAACCUGGUCUAUACCUAUUUUCAUAUUGUUUCUUAUCUAAUACUGCUGCUCAACAUAUUUUGCAGCCAUACAGGGGAAACUCUAACUGGAGUUGGUGUAACAAGUAGGCCUGGAUUGAGUCUGGUGCCAUCAAGUAAUGACAGUAAUGCCAGCUUGGGAUCUGGUGGGUCUCUGGUUGAUUCAACACCUCCCCUGCCUAUGGAACACCCCAUUUGGGAAAAUUAUGUGGGGUACUGCCAAUGAGAAUUGUGUUUGUGGCUGAAAUAGAGAGUUCUUCGCAGGAGGUGUGAUGUUGGCAUCCCUCUACAGGUGGAGAGUGGUGGACCUGUUUUGGUCCACCCUGAGGGACAUGUGUGCCUCAUCCAGCCCUGCCUCUGAUGCAUAAUAGAGAAGAACUUUGAAUGCAGCUUAACACUGUUAGAUGCAAUUUCUUUUGAAAUACGUCUUAUUUUGAUUUCCUUCCAGCUAAUGCCAAAAUUAGUGUUUGCUCUCAUGUUUCGGGUUGUUUUUUUUGUUGUUGUUUCUAAAAUGUGUUCUGUUUUGCAAAGAAGAACUGUUUUGCUAAAGGCAUUACAGUAGAUAUUACAACUAAUAGUGAAAUGGCUUUCUUAUUAAUUCUGAGAUGUCCUCAUUACAUUUCCUGGAUAUUUAAAAGGCAGCGAGGGAUUUCAUUAUGCAGACGGAGCUUCUAGCUGCUCAGGUGAUGGUUCUUUGAAUUAGAUAUUUGAAUUUUGUUUGGGGAGUUGAAUAAUGUGUCUUACCCUUCUAAUUAUAUACCAAUAAAUCAAGCCUGGCAGAUUCUCAAUUCUUGUCAUGUCAGGAACAAUUCUGGAAAAUAUUAAGGGAGAAAGGCAAAUAUCUCGGCACUUCUUUAGUGAUUUAGAAAGAGUGAAAACAAGAUAUAAUUCCUCACUGCAUGUUUUUAUUAAUAUGUGUUUUUUUCUGUGCUGUUCACCAAUUUAGGACAUGAGAUUUGACUUUCACUUGUGCACUGUGCUGACAUAACCCUACCCAUCAGCAUCAUGGUAGCUGACUGCUGCCAAAUCCCAGACAACCUGUGAGCUGGAGUCUGCAAUCAUGUAUCCACUCCUACAGGAAGAUAUGGCCCUCUAGAUUGGUAUUGAAUGGCAACUUCGAUCAGUUCCAGCUAGUAAGGGAAAUGGUCAAGGAUGGAGGACGGUGGAGCCCAGCAACACCUAGAGGGACUCAGG
This is a non-coding RNA of Podarcis lilfordi (Lilford's wall lizard), 7382 nucleotides long. The record is from the annotation of a GenBank genome assembly. Lineage: Eukaryota; Metazoa; Chordata; Lepidosauria; Squamata; Lacertidae.